AACGAACGCUGGCGGCAGGCUUAACACAUGCAAGUCGAGCGGACCCUCCUUCAAGCAGGCUUGAAGGUGAUUUUAGAAUCAUCAAGCAAGCAGGCUUGCUUGAUGGGGGGUCAGCGGCGGACGGGUGAGUAACGCGUGGGAACGUGCCCUUCUCUCUGGAAUAGCCCCGGGAAACUGGGAGUAAUGCCGGAUACGCCGGCCUCGAGUGGAUCGGGGCUGGGAAAGAUUUAUCGGGGAAGGAUCGGCCCGCGUCGGAUUAGGUAGUUGGUGGGGUAACGGCCCACCAAGCCGACGAUCCGUAGCUGGUUUGAGAGGAUGAUCAGCCACACUGGGACUGAGACACGGCCCAGACUCCUACGGGAGGCAGCAGUGGGGAAUCUUGGACAAUGGGGGCAACCCUGAUCCAGCCAUGCCGCGUGAGCGAUGAAGGCCUUAGGGUUGUAAAGCUCUUUCAGCGGGGAAGAUAAUGACGGUACCAGCAGAAGAAGCCCCGGCUAACUCCGUGCCAGCCGCCGCCGUAAAAC
This 524-nucleotide ribosomal RNA is filed under the name uncultured bacterium. Its description in RNAcentral is "bacterial SSU rRNA". It matches the Rfam family "Bacterial small subunit ribosomal RNA", at positions 29 to 526 of the family's 1533-position model. The record is from RNAcentral.